Monodelphis domestica (gray short-tailed opossum) is the source of this 107-nucleotide small nuclear RNA. Lineage: Eukaryota; Metazoa; Chordata; Mammalia; Didelphimorphia; Didelphidae. The record is from Ensembl.
GUGCUUGCUUCGGCAGCACAUAUACUAAAAUUGGAACAAUACAGAGAAGAUUAGCAUCGCUCCUACAUAAGGAUGACAUACAAAUUCAUGAAAAAAUCCAUAUUUUU